This is a long non-coding RNA of Solanum lycopersicum (tomato), 822 nucleotides long. RefSeq lists it as uncharacterized. The record is from RefSeq and is a predicted model, not a curated record. Lineage: Eukaryota; Viridiplantae; Streptophyta; Magnoliopsida; Solanales; Solanaceae.
GUACUUUUCUGAGUCUAAACAUUAUCAAUACAUACAAUAUUUUGUUUAGUGUUAAUUGUCUUAAAAAAUAAUAGAGUAAUGUGGAGAGAGUGCUGCACAGGACAUAGCAAGUUACUUUAGACAUUCAAACCCUACAAAGGAAGGCACUACAUAUGAAAGAAAGAUUGACGCUUCAUCGAUAACAACUUCAAUCAAUUGCAUAUUUCCUCCCUUAAGAAAACACCAUUAUUGAGUGUAUAUAUAUACAUAUAUAAGGCUGCAUGCUUAAAGCACACUCUGGGAAAAGUAGAGGCAUGCAUCAAUAGAUUCAAGACUUAAAUGCAAAGUCAUCUUGAGGAAGAACAAAACAACCAUGGGAUCCUAAAAAAAGCUUAGUUGAUUGACUACCUGAACUUCUGUCUUGUUGGCGAUGAGAAAACGAAGAUACACGAUGACCACCUCUAUCUUCUGAAUGUUGCAACAAAAUUGGAUACUCAAGGGCGAAAGAUGAGUAUGACCAAGCAUCUUCAACUGUAGGAUUUCACGAGUGUUACUUCCAAUCAUUUUAUGUUAUUGAGAACAGGAAAAAAACCAUCCAAAGUAAUACCACUAGUUCUUAUGCAUUCAUAUUUCAUAGUGUUAAUAUAGUACAACAACAGUUUCAAGCUUCAUGAACUACCAUUAGUGCAUAUGUAAAGACCCUAAAGAACAUAUAGUACACAUACUAAAGUACUUGAUGUAAAAGAGAAUCAUCAGAUUCUCAUAAUGCUACUGUCUUCUACUAGGAUUUGCUAAAAGUAGACUUAUCUGGAACUGGACCGUGAAGUUUUACAUUCUUCACAA